Molecule: ribosomal RNA, 330 nt
Filed under: uncultured Holophagae bacterium
Lineage: Bacteria; Pseudomonadati; Acidobacteriota; Holophagae
Description: bacterial SSU rRNA
Rfam family: Bacterial small subunit ribosomal RNA
Source: RNAcentral
UCCCGCAAGGGACUUGAGUCGAGGUGCUGCAUGGCUGUCGUCAGCUCGUGUCGUGAGAUGUUGGGUUAAGUCCCGCAACGAGCGCAACCCUUGCCCUGUUUUGCCAUCAUUCAGUUGGGAACUAUCAGGGGACCGCCAGCGAUAAGUUGGAGGAAGGUGGGGAUGACGUCAAGUCAUCAUGGCCUUUAUGUCCAGGGCUACACACGUGCUACAAUGGCCGGUACAAUGCGCUGCCAACCCGCGAGGGGAGCAAAUCGCAAAAACCGUUACUCAGUUCGGUAUCGCAGGCUGCAACUCGCCUGCGUGAAGCUGGAAUCGCUAGUAAUGGCG